This 430-nucleotide ribosomal RNA is filed under the name uncultured Pseudomonadota bacterium. Its description in RNAcentral is "bacterial SSU rRNA". It matches the Rfam family "Bacterial small subunit ribosomal RNA", at positions 1064 to 1499 of the family's 1533-position model. Lineage: Bacteria; Pseudomonadati; Pseudomonadota. The record is from RNAcentral.
GUCGUGAGAUGUUGGGUUAAGUCCCGCAACGAGCGCAACCCUUGUCACUAGUUGCUACGGAUAGAGCACUCUAGUGAGACUGCUGGUGAUAAACCGGAGGAAGGUGGGGACGACGUCAAGUCCUCAUGGCCCUUAUGGGUAGGGCUUCACACGUCAUACAAUGGUCGGUACAGAGGGUCGCCAACCCGCGAGGGGGAGCUAAUCUCACAAAGCCGAUCGUAGUCCGGAUUGUAGUCUGCAACUCGACUACAUGAAGUCGGAAUCGCUAGUAAUCGCAGAUCAGCAUGCUGCGGUGAAUACGUUCCCGGGUCUUGUACACACCGCCCGUCACACCAUGGGAGUAGAUUUUGCCAGAAGUAGUUAGUCUAACCGCAAGGAGGGCGAUUACCACGGUGAGAUUUAUGACUGGGGUGAAGUCGUAACAAGGUAA